Molecule: ribosomal RNA, 168 nt
Filed under: Bikinia media
Lineage: Eukaryota; Viridiplantae; Streptophyta; Magnoliopsida; Fabales; Fabaceae
Description: 5.8S ribosomal RNA
Rfam family: 5.8S ribosomal RNA
About the family: 5.8S ribosomal RNA (5.8S rRNA) is a component of the large subunit of the eukaryotic ribosome. It is transcribed by RNA polymerase I as part of the 45S precursor that also contains 18S and 28S rRNA.
Source: RNAcentral
AAUGACUCUCGGCAACGGAUAUCUCGGCUCUCGCAUCGAUGAAGAACAUAGCAAAAUGUGAUACUUGGUGUGAAUUGUACAAUCCCAUGAACCAUCGAGUCUUUGAACGCAAGUUGCGCUCGAAGUCAUCAAACGCCGAGGGCACGUCUGGUUGGGUGUCACGCAACG